This 253-nucleotide ribosomal RNA is filed under the name uncultured bacterium. Its description in RNAcentral is "partial 16S ribosomal RNA". It matches the Rfam family "Bacterial small subunit ribosomal RNA", at positions 524 to 776 of the family's 1533-position model. The record is from RNAcentral.
UACGGAGGGUGCGAGCGUUAAUCGGAAUUACUGGGCGUAAAGCGCGCGUAGGCGGCUUUGCAAGUCGGAUGUGAAAUCCCCAGGCUUAACCUGGGAACUGCAUUCGAGACUGCAUUGCUAGAGUAUGGGAGAGGGAAGUGGAAUUUCCGGUGUAGCGGUGAAAUGCGUAGAUAUCGGAAGGAACAUCAGUGGCGAAAGCGACUUCCUGGACCAAUACUGACGCUCAUGUGCGAAAGCGUGGGGAGCAAACAGG